AGGGUUCGAUUCUGGCUCAGAUUGAACGCUGGCGGCGUGCUUAACACAUGCAAGUCGCGCGUGAAAGGGCUUCGGCCCAAGUAAAGCGGCGCACGGGUGAGUAACGCGUGGAUGAUCUACCCAUGAGUUGGGAAUAACGGCUGGAAACGGUCGCUAAUACCGAAUACGCUCCGAUUUCAACGUUCGGGGGAAAGGUGGCCUCUGCUUGCAAGCUACUGCUCAUGGAUGAGUCCGCGUCCCAUUAGCUAGUUGGUGGGGUAACGGCCCACCAAGGCGACGAUGGGUAGCCGGUCUGAGAGGAUGACCGGCCACACUGGGACUGGAACACGGCCCAGACUCCUACGGGAGGCAGCAGUGGGGAAUAUUGCGCAAUGGGCGAAAGCCUGACGCAGCGACGCCGCGUGAGGGGAAUGAAGGUCCUCGGAUCGUAAACCUCUGUCAGGAGGGAAGAACCGCCACGGUGCUAAUCAGCCGUGGUCUGACGGUACCUCCAAAGGAAGCACCGGCUAACUCCGUGCCAGCCGCUGC
Molecule: ribosomal RNA, 528 nt
Filed under: uncultured bacterium
Lineage: Bacteria
Description: bacterial SSU rRNA
Rfam family: Bacterial small subunit ribosomal RNA
Source: RNAcentral